RNAcentral lists this ribosomal RNA (380 nucleotides) under Acinetobacter radioresistens. Its description in RNAcentral is "bacterial SSU rRNA". It matches the Rfam family "Bacterial small subunit ribosomal RNA", at positions 1 to 381 of the family's 1533-position model. Lineage: Bacteria; Pseudomonadati; Pseudomonadota; Gammaproteobacteria; Moraxellales; Moraxellaceae. The record is from RNAcentral.
UUUAACUGAAGAGUUUGAUCAUGGCUCAGAUUGAACGCUGGCGGCAGGCUUAACACAUGCAAGUCGAGCGGGGGAAGGUAGCUUGCUACCGGACCUAGCGGCGGACGGGUGAGUAAUGCUUAGGAAUCUGCCUAUUAGUGGGGGACAACAUCUCGAAAGGGAUGCUAAUACCGCAUACGUCCUACGGGAGAAAGCAGGGGAUCUUCGGACCUUGCGCUAAUAGAUGAGCCUAAGUCGGAUUAGCUAGUUGGUGGGGUAAAGGCCUACCAAGGCGACGAUCUGUAGCGGGUCUGAGAGGAUGAUCCGCCACACUGGGACUGAGACACGGCCCAGACUCCUACGGGAGGCAGCAGUGGGGAAUAUUGGACAAUGGGGGGAAC